GCGGGCGUGGCGGAAUCGGUAGACGCAACGGACUUAAAAUCCGUUGGGCGCAUGCUCAUGUGGGUUCGAGUCCCACCGCCCGCACCA
RNAcentral lists this transfer RNA (87 nucleotides) under Sphingopyxis macrogoltabida. RNAcentral's name for it is "tRNA-Leu". It matches the Rfam family "tRNA". From Rfam's summary of the family: Transfer RNA (tRNA) molecules are approximately 80 nucleotides in length. Their secondary structure includes four short double-helical elements and three loops (D, anti-codon, and T loops). The record is from RNAcentral. Lineage: Bacteria; Pseudomonadati; Pseudomonadota; Alphaproteobacteria; Sphingomonadales; Sphingopyxidaceae.